GAUGAACGCUGGCGGCGUGCCUAAUACAUGCAAGUCGAGCGGACAGACGAGGAGCUCGCUCCUCUUACGUUACCGACGGACGGGUGAGUAACACGUGGAUAACCUACCUAUAAGAAUGGGAUAACUUCGGGAAACCGGAUCUAAUACCGGUUAUUAUAUUGAACGGCAUGGUUCAUUAGUGCACGCCGUAUUUGCUGUCCCUAAUACAUGGUACCGGGCCGGAUUAGCUAGUUGGUAAGGUAACGGCUUACCAAGGCUACGAUGCGUAGCCGACCUGAGAGGGUGAUCGGCCACACUGGAACUGAGACACGGUCCAGACUCCUACGGGAGGCAGCAGUAGGGAAUAUUCCGCAAUGGGCGAAAGCCUGACGGAGCAACGCCGCGUGAGUGAUGAAGGUCUUCGGAUCGUAAAACUCUGUUAGUAGGGAAGAACGAAUGUGUAAGUAACUAUGCACGUCUUGACGGUACCUAAUCAGAAAGCCACGGCUAACUACGUG
This 497-nucleotide ribosomal RNA is filed under the name uncultured bacterium. RNAcentral's name for it is "partial 16S ribosomal RNA". It matches the Rfam family "Bacterial small subunit ribosomal RNA", at positions 28 to 507 of the family's 1533-position model. The record is from RNAcentral.